This 252-nucleotide ribosomal RNA is filed under the name uncultured bacterium. RNAcentral's name for it is "partial 16S ribosomal RNA". It matches the Rfam family "Bacterial small subunit ribosomal RNA", at positions 524 to 775 of the family's 1533-position model. The record is from RNAcentral.
UACGAGGGGUGCAAGCGUUGCUCGGAAUUAUUGGGCGUAAAGGGUAGGUAGGUGGUCUCAUUUGUCAGGGGUGAAAGCCUUGGGCUUAACCCAAGAAGUGCCCCUGAAACGGUGAGACUCGAGUCCUGGAGAGGGUCGUGGAAUUCCCGGUGUAGCGGUGAAAUGCGUAGAGAUCGGGAGGAACACCAGAGGCGAAGGCGGCGACCUGGACAGGAACUGACACUCAACUACGAAAGCGUGGGGAGCAAACAG